GCCAGGAAAGGGUGGCGUCUCUAUCCGCCCACUACCUCCCCCUCCCCUGGGAGCAUGCGGGCUCAGCAGAGCUCGCGGCAGGAGUCCGCGCGGGUCUCCUCGCGUGCAGCGCCUCCAGCAGCCACGCUCUUGGCCACAACCGCAGCGUUGGAACUGCGCGAGGGGGGAUGAGGGGUCCAACCUAGGAAGCAGCGCCAACCGGGCUCCCCGGGCUGGGAGGCCCCGAGCCGAGGGCGCCACCUGUGGGAUCACGCCCCUCUAGCCGUGUGCUCAGGGCAUGACAUGAGGGUAGGCAGCCUUGGCCGGGUUGCCACUAGGAUUCAGACCCGGUCUCGCUGACAUCAGAGAUUGCCGGACCCUGAUACCCUGGGUGGGACUUCCGCAUCCUGGGUUUUCCCAUCGCUAGGAAUGUUUUACUGGUAACAAUAGUUGAGUUGAGAAGAUCCAUGCUCAUCCUGCGCGUUUCAGCACCAUUCGGCUGCUAGGUGACUUACCAAGCAUUGCCUGGGAGAGUCGUCUAUCAUUUUAAGUAAACGCCUUGGGAAAAGAAGUACCAUUCAUUAUCUAUAAUUUAUAUACCAUAUCUUAAUUAAAAUGCAAAGAAGAUAUGCCUUAAGAGUGGAGACCAGAGCAUUAGGGGCUGCGCAAAUACUUCUUGGCUUUUUUCACUGUGCACUGGGGAUUCUCUGUGAAUGUUUGUUUAUCAGAGAGGCGGGCUUACAACGUGUUGGUUACAUCCCUACAUUUGUUAUGAUAAUUUACGCAUUUUGGUCAGCACCAUAUUACAUCACCUCGGGGGCCAUCAGCGUUGCAGCACAGAGGAAGGGUUCACAAUAUCAGAAACACAGGAUCCACCGCGAAAAUGCCAGGCUUAUAGCAUCUACUGGAGGUGAAAGACCAAGCCUAAAAAACAAAUAGGAUCUGAGGAAGUUUCCGAGAGCCAGAAACAGAAAGCACAGAGUGUGUUUCUGGCAUUGUUAUGAAUAUCUUAAGUGCCUGCUUUGCUGUACUUGGUGCAGUUGCCUUAAUCAUUGCGUGUGCAAGUUUUCAGUCAGAAGAAGAUUACACUUGGACACAGUUGGCUGGUACUAUGCUUUUACACUAUUUACUCUUCAUUGCUGUCUCAGAACUGAUCAUUGCAAGUAUAACUAUCCACUGGAUUGUGCAAGCAUUGCAGUAUCAAGAAUACGGCGAUGAGAGUUCCUCACUAUCAGAAUUCUCCAUCUCUUCAUAAUUUGCAAAGAACCGGUGUGACUCUAGUCAAGAGCAAAAGAUGAAUCGUGAAUUAGUGAAGAACUCCAUAAUUUUUUUCAAGAGGCCUGAUGGAGAAUGCAUUUUAAUGAAGUCCUUUCUAGUACUCCUUUUUCCUACUUCUUCAAUAAAGGAUGCAAUUUGAUCACAAG
Molecule: long non-coding RNA, 1403 nt
Organism: Equus caballus (horse)
Lineage: Eukaryota; Metazoa; Chordata; Mammalia; Perissodactyla; Equidae
Source: Ensembl